UGAAAAAUAUAUUUUUGGAUAGACACAAGGAUAUCAGUUCAAAGACUAUAACCCUGAGUUGUAGAAAAAGUAGCUUGUACUAAGGCAGUAGGAGUGGUGGUGAUAAGAAAUAAUACAGUUAGGGAAUAUUUUUGAGCUAUAGCUAUUUGGAGGUACUGAUGACUUAGAUAUCAGAUGAAAAAAGAAUGUAUUUUUAAUAUAUAUUUUGUUUUCAUCCACAGUUCCUGACUUACAACUACUUCCCCAAGGCUGGCCAUGGAAAAAGAUUUUGUUUUCCCUAAGACAGGUCACAGAAACACUAAAAAAUUCAUCAUAAGGAAUUGGUUGACAUAUCCAUGGACAGGAGGUCCUAAGAACCUAUCAUCCAGAGGACUCCUGUCCCAUACACUAAAGGAAGGGAGGACAAAGAGUCUGAGCAGAAAGUCUUUGGCUAUUGAAAGACUUUUUACUGGGGAGACUACACUAGAGUGUUGA
RNAcentral lists this long non-coding RNA (474 nucleotides) under Chinchilla lanigera (long-tailed chinchilla). RNAcentral's name for it is "lncRNA (ENSCLAG00000025311.1)". The record is from RNAcentral. Lineage: Eukaryota; Metazoa; Chordata; Mammalia; Rodentia; Chinchillidae.